UGGGGAAUCUUGCGCAAUGGCCGAAAGGCUGACGCAGCGACGCCGCGUGUGGGAUGACGCCUUUCGGGGUGUAAACCACUGUUGCCCGGGACGAACAGCCCUUUUCGAGGGGUCUGACGGUACCGGGUGAGGAAGCACCGGCUAACUCCGUGCCAGCAGCCGCGGUAAUACGGAGGGUGCGAGCGUUGUCCGUAAUCAUUGGGCGUAAAGGGCGCGUAGGUGGCCUGGUCAGCGUGCGGUGAAAGCCUGGGGCUCAACCCCGGGUCGGCCGUGCGAACUGCUGGGCUGGAGCACUGUAGAGGCAGGCGGAAUUCCGGGUGUAGCGGUGGAAUGCGUAGAGAUCCGGAAGAACACCGGUGGCGAAGGCGGCCUGCUGGGCAGUAGCUGACACUGAGGCGCGACAGCGUGGGGAGCAAACAGGAUUAGAUACC
Molecule: ribosomal RNA, 431 nt
Filed under: uncultured bacterium
Lineage: Bacteria
Description: bacterial SSU rRNA
Rfam family: Bacterial small subunit ribosomal RNA
Source: RNAcentral